This 253-nucleotide ribosomal RNA is filed under the name uncultured bacterium. Its description in RNAcentral is "partial 16S ribosomal RNA". It matches the Rfam family "Bacterial small subunit ribosomal RNA", at positions 524 to 776 of the family's 1533-position model. The record is from RNAcentral.
UACAGAGGGUGCGAGCGUUAAUCGGAAUUACUGGGCGUAAAGCGCACGUAGGUGGCGACGUAAGUCGGGUGUGAAAGCCCCGGGCUCAACCUGGGAAUUGCAUUCGAGACUGCAUUGCUGGAGUACGGAAGAGGAAGGCGGAAUUCCCGGUGUAGCGGUGAAAUGCGUAGAUAUCAGGAGGAACACCUGUGGUGUAGACAGCUUACUGGACCACGACUGACGCUGAGACACGAAAGCGUGGGUAGCAAACAGG